GAAUUUUUGUUGAUAGAUGAGUAUUCUUUCAGAAUUUUUCAUCAAUAGGUUGCAUUUUUUAAUAAGUUUUACAAAAACUUCUAUUUUUGGAAAGUUUUCAUUUCUAUAGAGAACUAUUGUAGAUUUGGGAUUGCGACUUUAAAAUUAGGAUAAGAAAAAGUUUUGUUGAUAGAUGAGUUUUCUUUGAGAAUUUUUCAUCAAUAAGUUGCAUUUUUUCAAUAAUUUUUACGAAAGCUAUUAUUUUUGGAAAUUUUUUGUUUUUAUAGAGAACUAUUGUAGAUUUGGAAUUUUGACUUAGUAAUAAGUAUAAAAAUAAUUUGUUUUGAUAGAUGAGUAUUCUUUCAUAAUUUUUCAUCAAUAAGUUGCAUUUUUUCAAUAAUUUUUAUGAAAGGUGCUAUUUUUAAAAAAGUUUUUAUUUCUAUAGAGAACUAUUAUAGAUUUGGGAUUGUGACUCUGAAAUUAGGGUAACUAGAAUUUUUGUUGAUAGAUGAGUAUUCUUUCAGAAUUUUUCAUCAAUAUGUUGCAUUUCUUCAAUAAUUUUUACGAAAGCUGUUAUUUUUGGAAAGUUUUUAUUUCUGUAGAGAACUAUUGUAGAUUUGAGAUUGUGACUUAGAAAUUAGGAUAACUAGAAUUUUUGUUGAUAGAUGAGUAUUCUUUCAGAAUUUUUCAUCAAUAGGUGCAUUUUUUAAAUAUUUUUUUAAGAACCUACUAUUUUUGGAAAGUUUUCAUUUUAUAGAGAACAAUUGUAGAUUUGGAAUUGUGACUUAGAAAUAAGGAUAAUUAGAAUUUUUUUUAUAGAUGAGUAUUCUUUCAGAAUUUUUCAUCAUUAGGUUGCAUUUUUCAAUAAUUUUUACGAAUCUGCUAUUUUUGGAAAGUUUUUAUUUCUAUAGAGAAGUUUGUAGAUUUGAGAUUGUGACUUAGAAAUUAGGAUAGCUAGAAUUUUUUUUUUGAUAGAUGAGUAUUCUUUUAGAAUUUUUUCAUCAAUAGGUUGCAUUUUUUCAAUAAUUUUUACGAAAGCUGCUAUUUUUAGAAAGUUUUCAUUUUUUAUAGAGAACUAUUGUUGAUUUGGGAGUGUGACUUUGAAAUUAGGAUAAGAAAAUUUUUUGUUGAUAGAUGAGUAUUCUUUGAAAAAAUUUCAUCAAUAGGUUGCAUUUUUUCAAUAACUUUUACGAAAGCUACUAUUAUUGGAAAGUUUUUAUUUUUACAGAGAACAAUUGUAGAUUUUAUUUGUGACUUUUAAAUUAGGAUAAAAAUAAUUUGUUUUGAUAGAUGAGUAUUCUUUCAUAAUUUUUUAACAAUAGGUUGCAUUUUUUCAAUAAUUUUUACGAAAUGUGCUAUUUUUAGAAAGUUUUUAUUUCUAUAGAGAAUUAAUGUAGAUUUCGGAUUGUGACUUUGAAAUUGGGAUAACAUGAAUUUUUUUUGAUAGAUGAGUAUUCUUUCAGAUUUUUUCAUCAAUAUUUUGUAUUUUUCAAUAAUUUUUACAAAAGCUGCUAUUUUUGGAAAUUUUAUAUUUCUGUAGAGAACUAUUUUGGAUUUGGGAUUGUGACUUUGAAAUUAGGAUAAAAAUAAUUUGUUUUGAUAGAUGAGUAUUCUUUCAUAAUUUUUCAUCAAUAGGUUGCACUUUUUCAAUAAUUUUUAUGAAAUGUGCUAUUUUUAGAAAGUUUUUAUUUUUAUAGAUAACUAUCGUAGAUUUGGGAUUGUGACUUUGAAAUUAGGAUAACAUGAAUUUUUGUUGAUAGAUGAGUAUUCUUUCAGAAUUUUCAUCAAUAUGUUGCAUUUUUCAAUACUUUUUACGAAAGUUACUAUUUUUGGAAAGUUUUUAUUUCUAUAGAGAAUUAUUGUAGAUUUGGAAUUGUGACUUAGAAUAACAAUAUUUUUUUUAGAUGAAUAUUAUUUCAGAAUUUUUCAUCAAUAAAUUGUAUUUUUAAAUA
This 1931-nucleotide long non-coding RNA is filed under the name Brassica napus (rape). RNAcentral describes it as "long non-coding RNA (BNAP_LNC020935)". Lineage: Eukaryota; Viridiplantae; Streptophyta; Magnoliopsida; Brassicales; Brassicaceae. The record is from RNAcentral.